CGGGCUUGGACGCCAAUGCACUGACGACCAGCGGGAUCCAUCAGGUGAGGCUGCGUGACAUCGACGGCGUCGUGGACUCCGGCGGCGGUGGCGGGCUGAAGGGAAAGAAGGUGGCGGUUGCUGCUAAAACUUUUGAAAACCCUAGCUGUAGAAAGAGUUUGGGUUUGCAAGAGAUUUGCUGGAAACUUGGAAUUAACCGGUUAAUUCGGUUAACCGAUUAACCGGU
RNAcentral lists this long non-coding RNA (226 nucleotides) under Salvia miltiorrhiza (redroot sage). RNAcentral describes it as "long non-coding RNA (SMIL_LNC011966)". The record is from RNAcentral. Lineage: Eukaryota; Viridiplantae; Streptophyta; Magnoliopsida; Lamiales; Lamiaceae.